GCAGUAGCCGCGGGAAUACAGAGGGUGCGAGCGUUAAUCGGAUUUACUGGGCGUAAAGCGUGCGUAGGCGGCUUCUUAAGUCGGAUGUGAAAUCCCUGAGCUUAACUUAGGAAUUGCAUUCGAUACUGGGAAGCUAGAGUAUGGGAGAGGAUGGUAGAAUUCCAGGUGUAGCGGUGAAAUGCGUAUAGAUCUGGAGGAAUACCGAUGGCGAAGGCAGCCAUCUGGCCUAAUACUGACGCUGAGGUACGAAAGCAUGGGGAGCAAACAGGAUUAGAUACCCGUGUAGUCCCUGUCUCUUAUAC
Molecule: ribosomal RNA, 302 nt
Filed under: uncultured bacterium
Lineage: Bacteria
Description: partial 16S ribosomal RNA
Rfam family: Bacterial small subunit ribosomal RNA
Source: RNAcentral